AAAGAAAAUAACAAUGAUUCCCCUAGUAACUGCGAGUGAAGAGGGACAAGCUCAAAUUUUAAAUCUGUUAGGUUUACCUAACCGAGUUGUGAUUUGAAGAGGCGUUUUCUGUGUUUCUGAUCAGCCCAAGUCCUUUGGGAUAGGGCAUCAUGGAGGGUGAGAAUCCCGUUCGGUUGAUCAGAUUCGCUUUACGAUACGUCAUCUAAGAGUCAAGUUGUUUGGGAUUGCAGCUUAAAAUGGGAGGUAAAUUUCUCCUAAGGCUAAAUAACGGCGAGAGACCGAUAGCGAACAAGUACCGUGAGGGAAAGAUGAAAAGAACUUUGAAAAGAGAGUUAAACAGUACGUGAAAUUGUUGAAAGGGAAACGAUUGAAGCCAGUCGUACCUUCGGGUAAUCAGCCUUUCGAGUGCGAUUCUGUGGAGUGUGAGGAGUUAAACGCCUUCAUGCCUGCAUAUUCGUGCACUUUGGGUGUACUUGCCCGUGUGGUAGGUUAACAUCAAUUUCGGAUGUCAUAAAAUGGCUGGAGGAAUGUAGCUUCGGUCUCGUACUGAAGUGUUAUAGCCUUUGGUAGAUGUGAUGACCGGGAUUGAGGAUUGCAACGAAUACCUUUUGGGCUAUCCGUCUGAUCUCUGAAAGUUGCUCUGGUGCCGAAAGCUUGCUUACGGUUAUCAAAGUUGACGUUCAAAAGGUUAGAACGGGUUAAAUUCGUUAAGGAUGUUG
Molecule: ribosomal RNA, 719 nt
Filed under: uncultured Glomus
Lineage: Eukaryota; Fungi; Glomeromycota; Glomeromycetes; Glomerales; Glomeraceae
Description: eukaryotic LSU rRNA
Rfam family: Eukaryotic large subunit ribosomal RNA
Source: RNAcentral